GUAACACUAACUGGAGGACCGAACCGACUAAUGUUGAAAAAUUAGCGGAUGACUUGUGGCUGGGGGUGAAAGGCCAAUCAAACCGGGAGAUAGCUGGUUCUCCCCGAAAGCUAUUUAGGUAGCGCCUCGUGAAUUCAUCUCCGGGGGUAGAGCACUGUUUCGGCAAGGGGGUCAUCCCGACUUACCAACCCGAUGCAAACUGCGAAUACCGGAGAAUGUUAUCACGGGAGACACACGGCGGGUGCUAACGUCCGUCGUGAAGAGGGAAACAACCCAGACCGCCAGCUAAGGUCCCAAAGUCAUGGUUAAGUGGGAAACGAUGUGGGAAGGCCCAGACAGCCAGGAUGUUGGCUUAGAAGCAGCCAUCAUUUAAAGAAAGCGUAAUAGCUCACUGGUCGAGUCGGCCUGCGCGGAAGAUGUAACGGGGCUAAACCAUGCACCGAAGCUGCGGCAGCGACGCUUAUGCGUUGUUGGGUAGGGGAGCGUUCUGUAAGCCUGCGAAGGUGUGCUGUGAGGCAUGCUGGAGGUAUCAGAAGUGCGAA
Molecule: ribosomal RNA, 542 nt
Filed under: Escherichia coli
Lineage: Bacteria; Pseudomonadati; Pseudomonadota; Gammaproteobacteria; Enterobacterales; Enterobacteriaceae
Description: partial 23S ribosomal RNA
Rfam family: Bacterial large subunit ribosomal RNA
Source: RNAcentral